Molecule: non-coding RNA, 691 nt
Filed under: Pongo abelii (Sumatran orangutan)
Lineage: Eukaryota; Metazoa; Chordata; Mammalia; Primates; Hominidae
Source: RNAcentral
GAACACAAAAUGGCGACACGUGGUUAGCAUUCGUCGCCAACGAGAAAUUGGGGUCGGCCCGAAAGCUCUAGAAUGCACCCCUAUUCCUCCCCGGGGCCAUUCCCGCUCAACGAGUUUUAUGACCUAAAAAACCCCACAGGCUGGUCUGAAGAGGAAGACACUUAAAGAUGAAGUGCUUAAUUCAAGGUCACAGAAUGUCGGGGAUGGACCUCCAGAUUUCCUUACUGACCUGCAUUAUCUUGUGGAUACCUGAGUGAAUUCCACACCACCCAUUUUAUAGAUGAAGCCACUGAGACGUGGAGCAACUGACUGAGUAGUCACUGCCCCACCCCUGCCUGGAGCCUCACACAUGACUUCUCUUAGUGACCACAGUACUUAUCCUGUAUUACAUGAGGGAAAUGAAAUAAAAAGACUGCAACCCUCCUCCCAGCUACUCUAGUGAGGUGGUAGCUAGGUGAGACGUGGUCUUGUAACACAGUGGUUAAGAAUGUGACUUUGGAGCCAGCCUGCUAGGGGCUGAAUUCUGACUCAGCCAUUUAUUAACUGUGUGACCUUAGAUGGAGUCUCACUCUGUAGCCCAAGCUGGAGUGGCGUGAUCUCGACUCACUGCAACCUCCGCCUCCUGGGCUCAAGUGAUUCUCGUGCCUCAGCCUCCUGAGUAGCUGGGACUACAGGUCAUAGAAUUUUCCAC